CUCCAAAUGAGCAACCUCGUAACCUCAUUGCGCCAUUUAAUUAAAAACAAAAAAAGAGAAAAAAGGAAAAAAAACGGAGAAAAAAAAAGAAUUCCUCGUCACGUGCACGGUCUGAAACUGGACAGCGAUGGGUUAUUAUUUUUUUUUCCCCUCCUCCUCCUCCUCCCCACCUGUUUUGUUGUGUCCCUGGUUCUGCCCCAGCCCCUCUGUGCCCCCCUCAGCCAUUCCCAGGAUGGAUAUGGAAUCUCAUGACCAACAGCCACACACGGAGACCUGGCCCUGUCCCUGCUGCUGCCACCGAGCUGAGCCCACCUCCAGCAAACUCCUCCUGCCUCCUCCUCCUCUUCUCACCAGGAAGCGUUUGUUUGCUCCUAAGGAAAAAAAAAAAAAUGGAAAAAACUUGAAAUUCCUCGUGUCCAGCUCAAUGUUGAAGUCCUGGCAGUCCUGGAUCUGAAGCUCCUCAGAGGGGUUUUGUUGCCUUCCACGAGGUUUGGAUCAGCUCCAGCAUGGCCAAUUCCAGAAUUUUCCAUGUUUCCUCCACUGAGUUUGCCUCAUUCCGCGUUUUCCAAAGUGCUGACUCAAGGUCACACUGGGCAUCUCUUUGCCUUGUCUUAAAGUUUACUGUUUCCACCUAAACCCCCGUGAUGUUGAAUCUCUUCUUGGAGUUGAUUGCAGCGGGAUUUCCCCAGGACCCCCCUGCCCCGUGGAGCCUGGAAAGUUCAGCAGAGCUGCAGUGCAAGUGCUUAAAGUGAGAAGUUCCAGUGCAAAAAUCCAAUGUGGUUUUGGUUGGAUGUGGAGGAGAAGAUUGUGUGGCCACCAGCUCUUCACCUUCUUCACAGCAGCAGGAACUUCACCAGAGGAGUUUUUCUCUUGUUAAUCUUCUCAUACCAAGACAAAUUCAGGAAUAAAAGAAUAUUCCAGCUUCUUGGUUUCAGUCCAGGACCCUCUGGAAUUCACUGUGGGAAACUCCACCAGUGGCUGCCACUGGAUCCGAGUAACUCUGGUCCUCAGGAGCUUCUCCAAACAAGCCCUGGUUGGUGCUGCAGCUCCAGGAGAUGUUGGACCUUCAGGAGGGGACAUUUGGAGCUCUGCAGGCUGAGGGAUGGAUCCUCUGUGCCCCAGUGCACAUCCUUGGUUAAUAACUGGAGAGAAAACUAAAAACUGCAUUUUCAGCCCUGGAGUUUGAGGGAGGGAAGGAGCAGCGCUUCUCGAGGAGCACGAGAGUUGUGAAAGCUCUUCAACACCUUUAGUUCCUGUGGAGCAUCUGCUGAUAUUUUAUUUUUGGCACCUAUCAAGCAUCUAUUAUCCCUGCUGAGAGUUAACCCUGUUGUGUUUGUGUGUGGAAAAUAAAAAGCUCACUGAGUGAGAAGCA
RNAcentral lists this long non-coding RNA (1372 nucleotides) under Zonotrichia albicollis (white-throated sparrow). RNAcentral's name for it is "lncRNA (ENSZALG00000002213.1)". The record is from RNAcentral. Lineage: Eukaryota; Metazoa; Chordata; Aves; Passeriformes; Passerellidae.